GACGUCCCCAUGGGUCCUGCCUAGGCUUGGGCUUUGCCCCGUCCUCCUCGGCAAUGUGUGGAGCAGGCAAAACCCAGGCGCGACUGCAUCUUCUCAAAUAAUCCUUUCUGAGACGUGAACUCCUGGUAUGAAAUCGCAUGUUCCUCCCUGCUGGUCCCAAAGCAGACAGUUYAGGCGGUGCUGUAACCAGGAAAAUCAGAGUACCAUGGAGCAGCACACACAAUCCCAGCCUUCGAGACAGCCCAAGCUCCUAGAAGAAGAAGAUGCCUCUGAGGCUGGGACCGAAGCAAAACAAGAGUGAUGCCAAAAAGGAGCAAAUACRCUCAAGAAAUCUGCCUGCAGCUCUGUGAUGUCAAGGGCCAGGCGWGAGGUUCCCCAUGCAUUUUGUUAGAUAAUGCACUUCUCGGUAGCUUUGCUAGGACAGCAUGAACCUGAAAACYAGCCUUAGGACAGAGAAAAAUACCUUAUCUCGCUUUCAAGCAGACAGUCAUUUUUUAUUGUCCAAUGUUGAUUUGUAAUCUCAAUAAUAGUCCCUUUACCUACAGGAGUCCACCAAACAAAAAUCUAAAUCCUGAAUAUAGAUAAUUUCCAAACUCUGAACUUAAAUUCUCUCCAAGAUGAAUAUGAAGAUGAUAAAAACAGUAAAUACACAAGAGGUCUGCAGCAGAUUAGCUUUCCAUGCGGUGUGCUGGGGAGCUCCAGAUUCCUCCUGCUGAGGAUAUUAUGUCCUCCCAAACAGUGACAGGAGAAUUCACCCCUUUCAUCUCUAUGGGAAAGGAAGAUCCCAAACAAGAGUCUGGGUUAACUUUAGGAGUCAAAAAAGAAACUAACCGUGCUGUAUGGAAAAGUGACAUUUAUAUACUCUACAUAGAGAUUUUUUUUUCCACUAUGGAACUGUUUAAGUUUACUUUUUUU
Nothoprocta perdicaria is the source of this 915-nucleotide long non-coding RNA. RefSeq lists it as uncharacterized. The transcript is spliced from 4 exons. Lineage: Eukaryota; Metazoa; Chordata; Aves; Tinamiformes; Tinamidae. The record is from RefSeq and is a predicted model, not a curated record.